This 491-nucleotide ribosomal RNA is filed under the name uncultured bacterium. RNAcentral's name for it is "partial 16S ribosomal RNA". It matches the Rfam family "Bacterial small subunit ribosomal RNA", at positions 29 to 506 of the family's 1533-position model. The record is from RNAcentral.
AGUGAACGCUGGCGGUAGGCCUAACACAUGCAAGUCGAACGGCAGCACAGUAAGAGCUUGCUCUUACGGGUGGCGAGUGGCGGACGGGUGAGGAAUACAUCGGAAUCUACUUUUUCGUGGGGGAUAACGUAGGGAAACUUACGCUAAUACCGCAUACGACCUACGGGUGAAAGCAGGGGAUCUUCGGACCUUGCCCGAUCAAAUGAGCCGAUGUCGGAUUAGCUAGUUGGCGGGGUAAAGGCCCACCAAGGCGACGAUCCGUAGCUGGUCUGAGAGGAUGAUCAGCCACACUGGAACUGAGACACGGUCCAGACUCCUACGGGAGGCAGCAGUGGGGAAUAUUGGACAAUGGGCGCAAGCCUGAUCCAGCCAUACCGCGUGGGUGAAGAAGGCCUUCGGGUUGUAAAGCCCUUUUGUUGGGAAAGAAAAGCAGCAGGUUAAUACCCCGCUGUUCUGACGGUACCCAAAGAAUAAGCACCGGCUAACUUCGU